This 131-nucleotide small nuclear RNA is filed under the name Octodon degus (degu). RNAcentral describes it as "U4 spliceosomal RNA (ENSODEG00000022860.1)". It matches the Rfam family "U4 spliceosomal RNA". From Rfam's summary of the family: U4 small nuclear RNA (U4 snRNA) is a component of the major U2-dependent spliceosome. The structure of U4 snRNA from yeast and human has been reported. U4 snRNA presents a k-turn RNA motif in the 5p-SL related to recognition of Snu13 protein. Lineage: Eukaryota; Metazoa; Chordata; Mammalia; Rodentia; Octodontidae. The record is from Rfam by way of RNAcentral.
AGCUUUGCGCAGUGGUAGUACCGUAGCCAAUGACGUUUAUCCAAGGCGCGAUUAUUGCUAAUUGUAUUCAAAAAGAUCAGAGAGUUCAAAACCUAGCAGCUAAGUGGACAAUUAAAAAUAACACACAUGUU